UACAAGAGGGGUUAAAGGAGGUU
RNAcentral lists this non-coding RNA (23 nucleotides) under Cricetulus griseus (Chinese hamster). Lineage: Eukaryota; Metazoa; Chordata; Mammalia; Rodentia; Cricetidae. The record is from RNAcentral.